GGGUUCGUGGUGUAGUUGGUUAUCACGUCAGUCUAACAUGCUGAAGGUCUCCGGUUCGAACCUGGGCGGAGCCA
This 74-nucleotide transfer RNA is filed under the name Triticum aestivum (bread wheat). RNAcentral describes it as "tRNA tRNA-Val". It matches the Rfam family "tRNA". Rfam says of the family: Transfer RNA (tRNA) molecules are approximately 80 nucleotides in length. Their secondary structure includes four short double-helical elements and three loops (D, anti-codon, and T loops). Lineage: Eukaryota; Viridiplantae; Streptophyta; Magnoliopsida; Poales; Poaceae. The record is from Rfam by way of RNAcentral.